UUGCAGGGUAGAAUACUCC
RNAcentral lists this microRNA (19 nucleotides) under Echinococcus granulosus. RNAcentral's name for it is "egr-miR-10228-3p". Lineage: Eukaryota; Metazoa; Platyhelminthes; Cestoda; Cyclophyllidea; Taeniidae. The record is from miRBase by way of RNAcentral.